Lynx canadensis (Canada lynx) is the source of this 1906-nucleotide RNA transcript. It is a transcript of the gene named C-type lectin domain family 12 member B, with no coding region annotated. The transcript is spliced from 11 exons. NCBI's taxonomy places the organism in Eukaryota, Metazoa, Chordata, Mammalia, Carnivora, Felidae. The record is from RefSeq and is a predicted model, not a curated record.
ACACCCUGUUCCUGAGCCUGAAGACAUUGCAACAUUAAUUGAGUAAUUUACAGUAGCGCUUUCUUCUACAAUGUCCGAAGAAGUGACUUACGCGACACUCACAUUUCAGGAUUCUGUUGGAGCAAGAAAUAACCGGGAUAGAAAUAACCUAAGGAAAAGAGGGUGUCCAGCUCCUUCCCCCAUCUGGCGCCAGGCUGCCCUGAGUCUGUUAACUCUUUGUCUGAUGCUGCUGAUUGGGCUGGUGACCUUGGGGAUCAUGCUUUUGCAGACAUCUCAUGAAAUUAACUCAGAUUCAGAGAGAUUAAGUCAACUGCAAAAAACCAUCCACCAACAGCAAGAUAACUUCUCCCAGCAGCUGAGUGACUACAGGAAUUUUCCCACUGAGGAGGAGCAUCUCAAAUCCCAGAUCUCCAGUCUAUUGAAGCGGCAGGAACAUAUGGCCAUCAAGCUCUGCCAAGAGCUGAUCAUUCGCACUUCAGACCACAAAUGCAAUCCUUGCCCUAAAAUGUGGCAAUGGUACCAAAACAGCUGCUAUUAUUUUGCAACAAAUGAGGAAAAUACCUGGAUUAACAGUAGAAAUAACUGCCUGGACCAGAAUUCCACCUUGGUGAAGAUAGAUAGCUUGGAGGAAAAGGAUUUUCUGAAGUCACAGCCAUUACCCAAGUUUUCUUUCUUCUGGUUGGGCUUAUCAUGGGAUCCAUCUGGAAAGAGCUGGCUAUGGGAGGAUGGCUCCAUUCCGUCUCCAUCGUUAUUCAGCCCUCGAGAAUACACCCAGAUCAACGGAUCCAGAGGAUGUGCCUAUUUUCAGAAAGGGAAGAUUUAUCUUUCCCGCUGCAGCGCUGAAAUUUCUUGGAUUUGUGAGAAGACAGCUACAUUAGUGAAGAUCGAAGAUCUGGAUUAAUACGCAUCUUCCGAAUUCACCAAGAUGUAAGGGACUUGUGAUUACGUUCAUGGGAAGAAAGAGAAGGCUACCGGACCACAGCCAAAAACAUGAAAAGAUGACGGUAACUUUCCUGCGGCGUAGCUGGUCAGCGUCCCUGCACGGUAGUCGCCAAACAUCGUAAAUCUAGCUUGAACGUUUUUCUGGGACAAAAUUGCUUAUUCGGUGAAGGAGAUGGUUUUUACUUGCUCCUCAUAUAAUUGUGCAGCUGCGUAGAGGCUCGAUAGAAUGGGCAGGUGUGAUAGUAGUAAAACUGGACAGGAAGAGGAUAGAAUUAACUUUUAAAACUGAGAAUUCAUUGUGAAGCAGAGGACUGAAGAGGCGGUCAAAUUUAACAAGACAAUCCUGAAGCCAAUGGAAUUCUGUUCCUCAGGGGGAGAAAUUCAAGUCAUGAAAGACCAGAAGAGGCUUCUAGGCUGCACCAGCAGGAGGCAGCAGACUAUCAGUGAGAGGGACAGUUUCUGGCUUACAGCUCCUAAACUCCUUGGAAUUUCCUAAGUGAUAAAUACAAUGGGAACAUCUUUUAUUAUAACAUUUGGUCUCUGGUCCUCAAUUCCUGAAAUCAAGCCACUUCAGAGCCCUAAAGAUAUAUUCCAAGAUUUUGAACCCAGUAAAGAUUCGAGGGGAAGAUGGAGAACCCGGUUACUGAAGAGACUAUAUGAAACCAUUUCACUCACAAUUUUCCUCCUGCUUUAAGUCUUCACAGUAUUUUGCAGUGAAGUUGUUCAGCUCAUGUAAUGUGUCUUCUGUCAUAUUUUUGAAACUGAUAUGCUCAUUUGAGAUAUUAUUACAUAUAUUCAUGUAUAGUGUUACAUUUUUCUCCCAUUGUUGUAUUAUGCUUUGUUGAAUGUAAUCCACUGUUCUGUUGCCAAAGAUGAGUUCUUGGUAAUCUAUAAUUUGUAUCAGGAGAUUAAUAACUUUAACAUAGUCAAACUUUUCUAAUAAAUUAUAUUAAUGUCACCAUAA